RNAcentral lists this ribosomal RNA (474 nucleotides) under uncultured bacterium. RNAcentral describes it as "SSU rRNA". It matches the Rfam family "Bacterial small subunit ribosomal RNA", at positions 26 to 518 of the family's 1533-position model. The record is from RNAcentral.
AGGACGAACGCUGGCGGCGUGCUUAACACAUGCAAGUCGAACGGAAAGGCCCUUCGGGGUACUCGAGUGGCGAACGGGUGAGUAACACGUGGGUGAUCUGCCCCGCACUUUGGGAUAAGCCUGGGAAACUGGGUCUAAUACCGAAUAGGACCAUGGCAUGCAUGUGCUGUGGUGGAAAGCUUUUGCGGUGUGGGAUGGGCCCGCGGCCUAUCAGCUUGUUGGUGGGGUUAAGGCCUACCAAGGCGACGACGGGUAGCCGGCCUGAGAGGGUGUCCGGCCACACUGGGACUGAGAUACGGCCCAGACUCCUACGGGAGGCAGCAGUGGGGAAUAUUGCACAAUGGGCGCAAGCCUGAUGCAGCGACGCCGCGUGGGGAUGACGGCCUUCGGGUUGUAAACCCCGUUUCAGUAGGACGAAGCGCAAGUGACGGUACCUACAGAAGAAGCACCGGCCAACUACGUGCCAGCAGCCGC